Long non-coding RNA from Cyanistes caeruleus (blue tit), 635 nucleotides. Lineage: Eukaryota; Metazoa; Chordata; Aves; Passeriformes; Paridae. The record is from Ensembl.
GCUGAUGGCUGCUGCAUUUAUAGCCUAAGUGAUCAAGUGACUGCCUGUUAAGCCCAAAUCAAUGCACAAGUGUUUAUUUAUUUGAUGCAGAUGAAGAAUUUCAGGAAAGAUUUGAGAGACUUUAAAAAUCUGGCUUUGGGAAUUCAUCUUCUCCAUCUCUUUUGAUCUAAACCAGUGUAACUUGCUUUACAAUCAGUUUUCAGUGGAACCACAGAUGAGGGGUAGAUAUUGCAACUUUGAGAAAUUCCAUACGAAAGGCCAUGCACAAGAAACUUCCUUGUGUUUCUGUCAAGCAGUAAGGGAUGGAAAAGGCAAUGUUCAGCCCACUACAUCUUGGAAAAAAAUGGAUGAAAUUUCACAGGAUUGAAGAAAUUUUUCCAGUUUUUUUCUCUGCUGAAUUUCAAACAUUUCAUGCAUUGAUCCAGGCAAGAUUGUCAGUUCCAUCUUCCUCACAAAGAAACAGGAAAGAUUGGGAUGAUGAACUGGUGCCAUAUGCAAGAGUAGCAGUGUUCCCUUCUGCUGGAAAGAGACCUUCCCCAUCCAUGUGGGCAAAAGGCUCACUUAAAAGAGGCUUUGCUGUCCUGGCUGUAAAGCUGUUGUCCUGGUUUGUGAAGAUGGUAUCAAAGCCCUCUUGA